GACCGGCGCACGGGUGAGUAACACGUAUCCAACCUGCCGAUGACUCGGGGAUAGCCUUUCGAAAGAAAGAUUAAUACCCGAUGGCAUAGUUCUUCCGCAUGGUAGAACUAUUAAAGGAUUUCGGUCAUCGAUGGGGAUGCGUUCCAUUAGGUUGUUGGCGGGGUAACGGCCCACCAAGCCUUCGAUACAUAGGGGGACUGAGAGGUUAACCCCCCACACUGGUACUGAGACACGGUCCAAACUCCUACGGGAGGCAGCAGUGAGGAAUAUUGGUCAAUGGACGAGAGUCUGAACCAGCCAAGUAGCGUGCAGGAUGACGGCCCUAUGGGUUGUAAACUGCUUUUAUAAGGGAAUAAAGUGGGAGUCGUGACUCUUUUUGCAUGUACCUUAUGAAUAAGGACCGGCUAAUUCCGUG
RNAcentral lists this ribosomal RNA (415 nucleotides) under uncultured bacterium. RNAcentral describes it as "bacterial SSU rRNA". It matches the Rfam family "Bacterial small subunit ribosomal RNA", at positions 93 to 507 of the family's 1533-position model. The record is from RNAcentral.